Molecule: ribosomal RNA, 440 nt
Filed under: uncultured bacterium
Lineage: Bacteria
Description: partial 16S ribosomal RNA
Rfam family: Bacterial small subunit ribosomal RNA
Source: RNAcentral
CCUACGGGCGGCAGCAGUGGGGAAUAUUGGACAAUGGGGGGAACCCUGAUCCAGCGACGCCGCGUGAGUGAAGAAGUAUUUCGGUAUGUAAAGCUCUUUCUGCAGGGAAGAAAAUGACGGUACCUGACUAAGAUGCCCCGGCUAACUACGUUCCAGCAGCCGCGGUAAUAUGUAGGGUGCAAGCGUUAUCCGGAUUUACUGGGUGUAAAGGGAGCGUAGGCGGUUUAGCAAGUCAGAAGUGAAAGUCCGGGGCUCAACUCCGGGACUGCUUUUGAAACUGUUGAACUAGAGUGCAGGAGAGGUAAGCGGAAUUCCUAGUGUAGCGGUGAAAUGCGUAGAUAUUAGGAAGAACACCAGUGGCGAAGGCAGCUUACUGGACUGUAAAUGACGCUGAGGCUCGAAAGCGUGGGGAGCAAACAGGAUUAGAUACCCUAGUAGUC